CAAUAGCGUAUAUUAAAGCUGUUGUGGUUAAAAAGCUCGUAGUUGGAUUUCUGUCAAGGACAACUGGUCCGCCCUCCGGGUGAGCACAUAGUUUGGUCUUGACAUCUUGCUGGAAGCUGUUGCUGCACUUGGCUGUGUGGCGCAGUGUUCAGCACUUUCACUUUGAGGAAAUUGGAGUGUUUCAAGCAGGCACAUGCCUUUGGACACAGUAGCAUGGAAUAAUUAGAUUGGGCUUUUGCUCCAAUUUGUCGGUUUCUGGAGCUGAGGUGAGUAUUAAUGGGGAUUGUUGGGGGCAUCCGAAUUUAGCCGUCAGAGGUGAAAUUCUUGGAUCUGCUAAAGACGGACAACUGCGAAAGCGUUUGCCCAGGAUGUUUNCAUUG
This 380-nucleotide ribosomal RNA is filed under the name uncultured eukaryote. RNAcentral describes it as "partial 18S ribosomal RNA". It matches the Rfam family "Eukaryotic small subunit ribosomal RNA", at positions 592 to 975 of the family's 1831-position model. The record is from RNAcentral.